GACGAACGCUGGCGGCGUGCUUAACACAUGCAAGUCGAACGGAAAGGCCCUGCUUUUGUGGGGUGCUCGAGUGGCGAACGGGUGAGUAACACGUGAGUAACCUGCCCUUGACUUUGGGAUAACUUCGGGAAACUGGGGCUAAUACCGGAUAGGAGCUCCUGCUGCAUGGUGGGGGUUGGAAAGUUACGGCGGUUGGGGAU
This 200-nucleotide ribosomal RNA is filed under the name uncultured bacterium. RNAcentral describes it as "partial 16S ribosomal RNA". It matches the Rfam family "Bacterial small subunit ribosomal RNA", at positions 28 to 226 of the family's 1533-position model. The record is from RNAcentral.